Molecule: long non-coding RNA, 1510 nt
Filed under: Struthio camelus australis
Lineage: Eukaryota; Metazoa; Chordata; Aves; Struthioniformes; Struthionidae
Description: lncRNA (ENSSCUG00000016235.1)
Source: RNAcentral
UUGUAUGUGAAAGGCAAUGUGAAAUCCUACCUUGACUCCACUAUGCACAGCAAACGUAGUUGCUAUUUCAUAUGCAGCUUUACACAGACACACAGUGAUAAGAUCUGACCUAGCCAUAAUAUUCAGAGUAUUCUGCGAUUGCAUCCAAAGAUCCAUCUCCAAAUAUAUGAAGUUGAACUAAACUUUUCUUUGCUGGAGUGUGAUGCUGAAGGCGAGGAGCUCUGACCCCGGGCAAAAACCUUUUAUUAGAAAGGGAGGUGCUUCAGGGGAAGUCGGCUGGCAUCUCCUUCAUGAAAAAGCAUGCACAAUGCUAAUUACCGCUGCAUUGCUGAUUCACCGGACAUUCAAACAGUAGAUCAUCUUGUGCACAGCUAUGGACAAGCAGUGGUCCAGUGUCUGUUGUUACCGUCACAGUGUUUCAAGGAGCCCUUUGGUUUGCGGCUUGGUAGCCGAUUGACCUACGUAUCACCCAGGUGUACUGAAUCAAACUGCUGGAGAUUUCUCCACUAAUUUUCUACAAUCAAAAUGAUUGCACUGCAGAGAAAGACUAUGAGCAAAUCAUCUACUAAUUCUCUCUUACUUUACUGAUUCAACUGGCAAUCCAUAAAAACAGAGGGGAAAUAUCAGGAGCACAGUGAGGGGUUUACAGAGUGUAUCAGCACUCUAGUCCUGACUCAGUACUUUUGCAUCUGAUCUGUCACAAACUGUAAGGUACUUUACAUUAAUGGCAGAAAGGGAGUUCUUGCUCUGCCAGUGCUGAGUGACUGAAGCGAGGUUCCUAACGGCCACCGUUCUCCAACUAAGAGUGGCUAUACUCGUGAACGUCAAAGGUCCAUCUAGUCAAGCACUAUGUCUCCAAGAGGGAUCCAGAAAGAAUGGUUUAGAAAAGGAGUAACCACAGGGUAAACAUACCCAGCUUCCACAGCUUUACUGCUGAAGGACUUCCUGAACCAGAAGUGUUGUUUUUUAGUGGCCCUCAAUAGAUUUUUCUUGUAUGAAUUUGUCUGGUUGUUUUUUGAACCUGUGUACACUCUAAUAUCCAAAUUGUUCUGCGGCAAGACGUUUCAAAGACGAAUUAUACACUCUGUGAGAAGCAUCUUCCAUCUCUUUGUUUUGAACCUGCUACCUGCCAUUUUACGCCACCUAGUUCUUGAAACACUGAACAAUCAUUCCUUGUUUACCUUCUGUAUUUUAUAGAUAUGAUUUUGUAGACUUGUAUUAUAUCUGUUUUGUUUCUUUCCUAUUAGGCAGAAUGCUGGUCUGCCUUACUGUUCAAUGUCACUGUGUCCCAGCCUAGGCACAGAAGCAAAGCCAGACCGCUUCAGUGAAAGAGAGUUUCUGCUUGCCUACCCUCUUUUCUCAGAUACCAUCUAAGCUCUGUACUUAAAGAAAUCCAGGGUCUGAUGCAUGCUGUAAUGCAUCAGUAGGUGAAUCAUCACAACAGGUGGGUAGAUUGUGAUCCAUAUCACGUUGUAAGAUAAAGUUCUGAUGGAUCCUUUUCUCUUGAGAA